AACGAACGCUGGCGGCAGGCCUAACACAUGCAAGUCGAGCGAGGACUUCGGUUCUAGCGGCGGGCGGGUGAGUAACGCGUGGGAAUGUGCCCUUCUCUACGGAAUAGCCCUGGGAAACUGGGAGUAAUACCGUAUACGCCCUAUUGGGGAAAGAUUUAUCGGAGAAGGAUCAGCCCGCGUUGGAUUAGGUAGUUGGUGGGGUAAUGGCCUACCAAGCCGACGAUCCAUAGCUGGUUUGAGAGGAUGAUCAGCCACACUGGGACUGAGACACGGCCCAGACUCCUACGGGAGGCAGCAGUGGGGAAUCUUAGACAAUGGGGGCAACCCUGAUCUAGCCAUGCCGCGUGAGUGAUGAAGGCCUUAGGGUUGUAAAGCUCUUUCAGCUGGGAAGAUAAUGACGGUACCAGCAGAAGAAGCCCCGGCUAACUCCGUG
RNAcentral lists this ribosomal RNA (433 nucleotides) under uncultured bacterium. Its description in RNAcentral is "partial 16S ribosomal RNA". It matches the Rfam family "Bacterial small subunit ribosomal RNA", at positions 29 to 507 of the family's 1533-position model. The record is from RNAcentral.